GGGAUCCCAUCACGAAACUGAUCCCUCACAUGAAAAAUCUCCUUCAUGCAAUCAUCAAAUGUGUAACGGCCCCAUGGAAAUUCGGUGCAAAACUCCAGAUCUUCUGCUGCUAGGAGAAUGAAAUACUCAAUGAAGUAUCCUCCUUUUGACCUUCCUCUUAAAACUCUAGCCAAAAAGUAAAGAACCGCCAUCCUCAGACGAUCGCCACUACCAUCAAACUUCAUCUUCUGAAGUUUCUCUAAGACAUCCGCUUCUGUCACUUGCAGACCCUUUUCCUUCCCAUCCUUUGUCUUCUUUACCUUAAAAUACUUUCUCGCAAACUUCAUGCUC
This 330-nucleotide long non-coding RNA is filed under the name Brassica napus (rape). Its description in RNAcentral is "long non-coding RNA (BNAP_LNC010791)". The record is from RNAcentral. Lineage: Eukaryota; Viridiplantae; Streptophyta; Magnoliopsida; Brassicales; Brassicaceae.